Molecule: transfer RNA, 57 nt
Filed under: Mesocricetus auratus (golden hamster)
Lineage: Eukaryota; Metazoa; Chordata; Mammalia; Rodentia; Cricetidae
Rfam family: tRNA
About the family: Transfer RNA (tRNA) molecules are approximately 80 nucleotides in length. Their secondary structure includes four short double-helical elements and three loops (D, anti-codon, and T loops).
Source: Rfam by way of RNAcentral
UAGCUCAGUGGUAGAGUGUUUGCCUUGUAUGUGAGAAUUCCUGGGUUCAAGCCCCAG